AUACGGAGGAUCCGAGCGUUAUCCGGAUUUAUUGGGUUUAAAGGGUGCGCAGGCGGCCAUUUAAGUCAGCGGUUAAAUCGUGGGGCUCAAUCCCAUUCUGCCGUUGAUACUGGGUGGCUUGAUUGCGGUCGAGGUUGGCGGAAUUCGUUGUGUAGCGGUGAAAUGCAUAGAUAUGACGAAGAACACCGAUUGCGUAGGCAGCUGACCAGAUCGCAAAUGACGCUCAUGCACGAAAGUGCGGGGAUCGAACAGGAUUAGAUACCCUGGUAGUCCGCACAGUAAACGAUGAAUACUUGUUUUCGGCGAUAUAAUGUCGGAGGCAAAGCGAAAGCGAUAAGUAUUCCACCUGGGAGUACGCCGGCAACGGUGAAACUCAAAGGAAUUGACGGGG
RNAcentral lists this ribosomal RNA (391 nucleotides) under uncultured bacterium. Its description in RNAcentral is "partial 16S ribosomal RNA". It matches the Rfam family "Bacterial small subunit ribosomal RNA", at positions 523 to 918 of the family's 1533-position model. The record is from RNAcentral.